RNAcentral lists this long non-coding RNA (1528 nucleotides) under Durio zibethinus. RNAcentral's name for it is "long non-coding RNA (DZIB_LNC001767)". The record is from RNAcentral. Lineage: Eukaryota; Viridiplantae; Streptophyta; Magnoliopsida; Malvales; Malvaceae.
GUACGAUAAAACAAUACAAUAAGAGAACCUCAAAGUCAAGUCUUUAAUUAUUAUAUGGUGGGAUUCUAUUUGAAAAAUUCAACUCAGGAAUAAUAGAACUUGAAUUUAAUAUGUUAAUUUUCAUGAAAGUCAUAUUUGUGGUUUUUGUUUUUCCAUUUUAUUUCGAUGUUUUUUUUGUCAGCCCCAAGGAAAAGUUUCCUUCGUGUUUCAAGGAAACCUCCUGGAACUUGCAUGAAUGGGACAUUGCAUGAAUGUUUCCUUCAUGUUUCAAGGAAACUUCCUGGAACUUACAUUAAUGGGACAUUGCAUGAAUAUCUUUUCAAUUUACUAUUUAGGAGCUUAAAAGGAUAUGAAAAAAAUGAUUUGGGAUAUUUUCAUAAAAAUAAAUUGAUCAUAUCAUUUGGGAGCAAAGUUCACAAUAAAUUAAAAAAUUUUAAAUAUAUAUUUUAUUCAUAUUGAGAGUUAUUAAUAUUUUUGUUCACCUUUACUAAAGAGUCGCCUAUAAAAGAUUUUCUUUUACAUGGAAUUUCAUGAUUUUAGGUUGAUUUUUUUAGUCAAGAAAAGCUUCCUUCAUGUUUCAAAAGAAACUUCCCAGAACUUACAUGAAUGGGACAUUGCAUGAUUAUCUAUUGAAUUGUUUUGCACUUACUAUUUAGAGAAAAGUAUUUCAUUGGAGAAUUAUUGUAAAGGGAUGACAGCUAACAAAAAUAAAAUCAAGGAUUUUAAUUCUCCUUCACCGUGGUGAAAUUUCAACCAAAAAAAAAUUAUAACAAAUUUUUAAGUGGAAAUUUGGUUCGUUGAAAGAAUUCAGUCAUCCUCAAAUGAUACUUGUUGGAUUUUUUUUUUAAGACUUCAUUAAUUUCCGAGUUGAUUCAUUGUUAAGUUCAAAGUUUAAUGUAAAUUUGGUCAAACUUUAUUUUCACAAUAAAAUAUCACUCGUAAAUUCUUCGAAUUUUAAACUCAGUUGGAUAACUCAAAUAAUCUUGAAUAAGCUCAAUAAUAUUAUUUCUCAACCCAAAUGAAAAUAUUUAUAAUUUUUAACCAAAUUUAAAUAAAAAAAAGCAUAAAAAUCAAAGACCUUAACCUUAACAAUUGAGAAAGGAAAUUACAAGAAAUAAACAAAUAAAAACAUAACAAUCCCUAAAUCAAAGUUAAAAUUAUUAAAAUGAAAAUGAAGAGUGUAUAUGCAUAUUAGUUCAAGGGAUUGUACCGGUCAAUUCUACAAAGGGAAACAUAAAUCAUAGCUAAGAGCUUAAAAGCUGAAAAGCAGGUUUAAUCUCAGAGAUUGAAUUAUGAAUUUAAUUGAACGUUGCUUAUGGGGAAAAAAAAAAAAAACCAAAGGAGUGUCAAACUUUUCCACAACUCGAAUUCCUAGUGGAAAAUCUGAGCCUUGAAUUUAGUCAUUUUGAAAUGAUUCUUUCGGUUGGAUUCUUUUUCAAAAGUCCUUCGCAAGUAUUUCAAUUUCCAUGAAUGCUUAUUGCCGACAUUACUUGCUUGCAUAUUCAUGGUAUUUGUUUUUCCAUUUUGU